Long non-coding RNA from Gavialis gangeticus (Gharial), 460 nucleotides. RefSeq lists it as uncharacterized. The record is from RefSeq and is a predicted model, not a curated record. The transcript is spliced from 2 exons. NCBI's taxonomy places the organism in Eukaryota, Metazoa, Chordata, Crocodylia, Gavialidae.
AAUUUAGAAAACUAAUCCCAUGUCUGCAUUUUUCCUGGACUGUAAUUUUCAAGGUCAGUGCUCUUUCAAACACACAAGGACUAUCACGACUAGUACUUGUCAGUUUUUCUAGUGUUUACCACCACACACAAGUGAACCAUUAAUUUUAUUAUGAAUACCUCAACUAGCUAACAUUCCUCCUGUGGCAAAAUCUGUGUGGAAUGCCCAUUUAAGGUCUUAACCAAUGUAAACUGCACAACCAAUACUUCAGAAAACAAAGGCUUGAAGUAAUCUGUUAUUUAGAGAUUAUGGGCUGCAAAUAGUAGCCCCUACAUAAACCAGUAGGAUUUUUGCUAUAGCAGGAUUGGGCACACAAUACUUUUGCAGUUCCUGAGUUAAUUACAUUUGCCUAAACUGAAGAAUGAAGCUGAACUUAAAUAGCUAAAUAAGACGUACCCCACCAAAACUUCAUGUUAUCUGA